RNAcentral lists this transfer RNA (65 nucleotides) under Planicapritermes planiceps. Its description in RNAcentral is "tRNA-Asn". The record is from RNAcentral. RNAcentral also lists the same sequence under 2 other names. Lineage: Eukaryota; Metazoa; Arthropoda; Insecta; Blattodea; Termitidae.
UUGACUGAAACCAAAAAGAGGUAUAUUAUUGUUAAUAAUAAAAUUGAAUUAAAAUUCCAGUUAAG